UUAUACAUGCAAGUCGAACGAAGUAGCAAUACUUAGUGGCAGACGGGUGAGUAACAUGUAGGUAUCUUCCCUUUGGUGAGGAAUAACACGAGGAAACUUGUGCUAAUACCUCAUAAGUCUUUACGGAGAAAGCUUUAUGCGCCGAAGGAUGAGCCUGCACUUGAUUAGUUAGUUGGUAGGGUAAUGGCUUACCAAGACUUUGAUCAAUAGCUGAUCUGAGAGGAUGAUCAGCCACAUUGGGACUGAGACACGGCCCAAACUCCUACGGGAGGCAGCAGUAGGGAAUAUUGCACAAUGGAGGAAACUCUGAUGCAGCGAUGCCGCGUGAGUGAAGAAGGCCUUUGGGUUGUAAAGCUCUUUCGUCGGGGAAGAAAAUGACUGUACCCGAAUAAGAAGGUCCGGCUA
RNAcentral lists this ribosomal RNA (405 nucleotides) under uncultured bacterium. Its description in RNAcentral is "bacterial SSU rRNA". It matches the Rfam family "Bacterial small subunit ribosomal RNA", at positions 49 to 499 of the family's 1533-position model. The record is from RNAcentral.